Molecule: ribosomal RNA, 1238 nt
Filed under: metagenome
Description: bacterial SSU rRNA
Rfam family: Bacterial small subunit ribosomal RNA
Source: RNAcentral
GGGUGCAAGUACUCUGGGAUGGGCCUGCGUUCCAUUAGUUAGUUGGUGAGGUAACGGCUCACCAAGGCAUCGAUGGAUAGCUGGUUUGAGAGAGUGAUCAGCCACACUGGGACUGAGAUACGGCCCAGACUCCUACGGGAGGCAGCAGUGAGGAAUAUUGCGCAAUGGAGGAAACUCUGACGCAGCAACGCCGCGUGGGGGAUGAAGUUCUAUGGAGCGUAAACCCCUGUAAGUGGGGACGAACUUUAGAUAGUCGAACAGGCUAUUUAAUUGACGGUACCCGCAGAGUAAGCUCCGGCUAACUCCGUGCCAGCAGCCGCGGUAAUACGGGGGGAGCAAGCGUUGUCCGGAAUUACUGGGCGUAAAGGGCGUGUAGGCGGCUUGAUAAGUCAGAUGUUAAAGCCCCCGGCUUAACCGGGGAUAGUCAUUUGAAACUGUCAGGCUUGAGUUCGAGAGAGGGUAGCGGAAUUCCCAGUGUAGCGGUGAAAUGCGUAGAUAUUGGGAAGAACACCAGUAGCGAAGGCGGCUACCUGGCUCGCAACUGACGCUAAGGCGCGAAAGCGUGGGGAGCAAACAGGAUUAGAUACCCUGGUAGUCCACGCUGUAAACGAUGAGCACUAGGUGUUGGUUGGCCGCAGGCUGAUCAGUGCCGCAGUUAACGCAUUAAGUGCUCCGACUGGGGAGUACGAUCGCAAGGUUGAAACUCAAAGGAAUUGACGGGGGCCCGCACAAGCGGUGGAGCAUGUGGUUUAAUUCGAUCCAACGCGAAGAACCUUACCGGGGUUUGACAUCAUAGUGAAGUUUACAGAGAUGUAAAUGUUCUUCGGAACGCUAUGACAGGUGCUGCAUGGCUGUCGUCAGCUCGUGUCGUGAGAUGUUGGGUUAAGUCCCGCAACGAGCGCAACCCUUGCCCCUAGUUGCCAGCGGAUAACGCCGGGGACUCUAGGGGGACAGUCGGCGAUAAGCCGGAGGAAGGUGGGGAUGACGUCAAGUCCUCAUGGCCCUUACAUCCCGGGCUACACACGUGCUACAAUGGCCGGUACAACAAGUCGCGAUACCGCGAGGUGGAGCCAAUCUCUAAAAACCGGUCUCAGUUCGGAUUGCAGUCUGCAACUCGACUGCAUGAAGCCGGAAUCGCUAGUAAUCGUGGAUCAGCACGCCACGGUGAAUACGUUCCCGGGCCUUGUACACACCGCCCGUCACGCCAUGGGAGUUGGCAGUACCCGAAGCCGGUGUCC